Molecule: long non-coding RNA, 1864 nt
Organism: Symphalangus syndactylus (siamang)
Lineage: Eukaryota; Metazoa; Chordata; Mammalia; Primates; Hylobatidae
Source: RefSeq, a predicted model, not a curated record
CAUCACACUCCGGGGCCUGUCGUGGGGUUGGGGGAGGGGGGAGGGAUAGCAUUAGGAGAUAUACCUAAUGUAAAUGACAAGAUAGUGGGUGCAGCACACCAACAUGGCACAUGUAUACAUAUGUAACAAACCUGCACAUUGUGCACAUGUACCCUAGAACUUAAAGUAUAAUUAAAAAAAAAAAAAAUAUAUAUAUAUAUAUAUGUGUGUAAAAUGCCUGGCACAUAGUCAACCCACGUGUUAGUGAUUGCUACAAUUUAAUUAAUUUGAUAGCAUGUUCAGAGCUAGAUUUAGGGUGUGGCUAUCAUGGAUGCUAAAAUAUAACAGGUACAUAAAAAUAACCCUAGAAAUAUCAUGAGAUAAAUAAAACUAUUUAUCAGAAAAAAAAUUGGCCUUCUGAAUUCUUUUUCUGGAAAUUCAGAGAUUUCUUCUUGGCUUGCAUCCAUUGCUGGUGAGCUAGUGUGAUCUUUUGGGGGUGUCAAAGAACCUUGUUUUGUCAUAUUACCAGAAUUGUUUAUCUGUUUUUUUCUCAUUUGGGUAGACUAUGACAGAGGGAAGAUCUGGGACUCAAGGGCUGCACUCCAGAUUCUUUUGUCCCACGGUGUGCUUCCUUGAUGUGGUGCCCUCCCCCUUCCCCUAGGGGUGGGGCUUCCUGAAAGCCAAACUGCAGUGAUUGUUAUUUCUCUUCUGGGUCUAGCCACCCAGCGGGUCUACUGGGCUCUGAGCUCGUACUGCAGAGUGUCUGCAAAGAGUCCUAUGAUGUGAUCCAUCUUCAGGUCUCUCAGCCAUGGAUACCAGCACCUGCUCUGGUGGUGGUAGCAGGGGAGUGAGGUGGACUCUGUGUGGGACCUUAGUUGUAGUUUUGUUUAAUGCUCUGGUGUUCUCGAAUGCUGGUUGUGCUGGCAGUAAAGUUGUCACGUGGACAGACUCAGGACCUCUAGUUAGCCAGGAUGUCAUAGGCAGUGGAGUUAGCUAUUGUUUUCUCCUUUCUUGAGGCAGGGUUGUUUUUUUAUGAGUUGCUGUAAUGGUUUGUGUUGGUUGGCCUCCAGCCAGGAGGUGGCACUUUCAAGAAAGCAUCUGCUGCGGUAUUAUAGGAAGGAUACAAGCUUGCCCUAGGGUAGCCUAGAUAGAUACUGGGGUUUCUCAGGUGGUGGGUGGUGCCAUAGAGCUCUCAAGAGAUUAUGACUUCGGCUGCCACAGCAGGUAGAGAAAGACCAUAGGGGGAUUAUGGCUGCCUCUGCUGAGUCAUACAGGUCACCAGGGAAGUAGGAGGAUGCUGCAGUGACAGGCCCCACCCAGCUCCCACAGAGCCAGUAAGGCCAGUCUCACUCCCACCAUGCUCCCCCAACAGCACCGAGUUUAUAUCCAGGCAGCUGAUUCUGCCCUGGAAAAUUCAUGCUUGGUUGAAAUUAUUACAAAGCAGCUGGAAGUUUCCUUCUCCCUGUGGUCCUUCCCCAACACCACUGACAGCCCUCCCCAAGGACUUCUGUGAGAUAAAGUCAGAAAUGGAUUCCCUGGGCUUUCUUGGGGCCUGGGAGUGCCUACAGGGCUCUUCAUGCUGCUGCUUCUACUUUUGUAUUUCUCCCAGCUUUCUAAAUUCGUUUCAGCUCCAGCUGGCAGAGGUAUACAAUCUGCUGAGCGUCAGGAACACAAGCUGCUGAGCAUCCGGGAUACAAGUGGCUGAGCGUCAAGCAGAGAAGCAGCAACUGAACAUCAGAGUCUAAGGAUAGACAUGGCUAACUUCAGUUGGUGUGGCUUCAGGGAAAGAUCACCUUCUUCCUGCACCACCUCCUUUCCAAUUCCCCAUCCCACUGAGAGCCAUGCUUAUUGCCCAAUAAAAUCCUCCGUGUAUACUACCCUUCAA